UCUAGAGGCUUCGGCAAUGGACGAAAGUCUGACCGAGCGACGCCGCGUGUGGGAUUGAAGGCCUUCGGGUCGUAAACCACUGUCAGAGGGGAAGAAUGCCCGUAUGGCGAAUACGGGAGUGACGGUACCCUCAGAGGAAGCCCCGGCUAACUCCGUGCCAGCAGCCGCGGUAAUACGGAGGGGGCAAGCGUUAUUCGGAUUUACUGGGCGUAAAGGGUGCGUAGGCGGUCGCGCAAGUCUGAUGUGAAAUCUUCACCACUCAACGGGAAGAGGUCAUUGGAAACUGCACGACUUGAGUUUGGUAGAGGCUAGCGGAAUUCCUGGUGUAGCGGUGGAAUGUGUAGAUAUCAGGAAGAACACCUGUGGCGAAGGCGGCUAGCUGGGCCAAUACUGACGCUGAGGCACGAAAGCGUGGGGAGCAAACGG
Molecule: ribosomal RNA, 426 nt
Filed under: uncultured bacterium
Lineage: Bacteria
Description: bacterial SSU rRNA
Rfam family: Bacterial small subunit ribosomal RNA
Source: RNAcentral